UACGUAGGGAGCAAGCGUUAUCCGGAAUUAUUGGGUGUAAAGGGUGCGUAGACGGGUUAACAAGUUAGUUGUGAAAUCCCUCGGCUCAACUGAGGAACUGCAACUAAAACUGAUAUUCUUGAGUGCUGGAGAGGAAAGUGGAAUUCCUAGUGUAGCGGUGAAAUGCGUAGAUAUUAGGAGGAACACCAGUGGCGAAGGCGACUUUCUGGACAGUAACUGACGUUGAGGCACGAAAGUGUGGGGAGCAAACAGG
Molecule: ribosomal RNA, 253 nt
Filed under: uncultured bacterium
Lineage: Bacteria
Description: partial 16S ribosomal RNA
Rfam family: Bacterial small subunit ribosomal RNA
Source: RNAcentral